This is a non-coding RNA of Stegodyphus mimosarum, 73 nucleotides long. The record is from Rfam. NCBI's taxonomy places the organism in Eukaryota, Metazoa, Arthropoda, Arachnida, Araneae, Eresidae.
ACCUUCGUGGUGUAGUGGUCAGCACGCUGGGCGCGUUUCCCAGAGGUCCAUGGUUCGAGUCCCGGCGAAGGCG